This 468-nucleotide ribosomal RNA is filed under the name uncultured bacterium. Its description in RNAcentral is "partial 16S ribosomal RNA". It matches the Rfam family "Bacterial small subunit ribosomal RNA", at positions 28 to 507 of the family's 1533-position model. The record is from RNAcentral.
GACGAACGCUGGCGGCGUGCUUAACACAUGCAAGUCGAACGGAAAGGCCCUGCUUUUGUGGGGUGCUCGAGUGGCGAACGGGUGAGUAACACGUGAGUAACCUGCCCUUGACUUUGGGAUAACUUCAGGAAACUGGGGCUAAUACCGGAUAGGAGCUCCUGCUGCAUGGUGGGGGUUGGAAAGUUUCGGCGGUUGGGGAUGGACUCGCGGCUUAUCAGCUUGUUGGUGGGGUAGUGGCUUACCAAGGCUUUGACGGGUAGCCGGCCUGAGAGGGUGACCGGCCACAUGGGGACUAAGAUACGGCCCAGACGCCAACGGGAGGCAGCAGGGGGGAAUAUUGCACAAUGGGCGGAAGCCUGAUGCAGCAGCGCCGCGUGCGGGAUGACGGCCUUCGGGUGGUAAACCGCUUUCGCCUGUGACGAAGCGGGAGUGACGGUAAUGGGUAAAGAAGCACCGGCUAACUACGUG